UGGAGCAUGUGGUUUAAUUCGAAGCAACGCGCAGAACCUUACCAGCUCUUGACAUGGUCACGGUCGGCCCAGAGAUGGGUUUUCCCCGCAAGGGGCGUGAUGCACAGGUGCUGCAUGGCUGUCGUCAGCUCGUGUCGUGAGAUGUUGGGUUAAGUCCCGCAACGAGCGCAACCCUCGCCUCCAGUUGCCAGCAUUUGGUUGGGCACUCUGGAGGAACUGCCGGUGACAAGCCGGAGGAAGGUGGGGAUGACGUCAAGUCCUCAUGGCCCUUAUGGGCUGGGCUACACACGUGCUACAAUGGCGGUGACAGUGGGAAGCCAGGUCGCGAGGCCGAGCGGAUCCCGAAAAGCCGUCUCAGUUCGGAUUGCACUCUGCAACUCGGGUGCAUGAAGGCGGAAUCGCUAGUAAUCGCGCAUCAGCAUGGCG
RNAcentral lists this ribosomal RNA (426 nucleotides) under uncultured bacterium. Its description in RNAcentral is "bacterial SSU rRNA". It matches the Rfam family "Bacterial small subunit ribosomal RNA", at positions 933 to 1359 of the family's 1533-position model. The record is from RNAcentral.